RNAcentral lists this ribosomal RNA (385 nucleotides) under Triticum aestivum (bread wheat). RNAcentral's name for it is "partial small subunit ribosomal RNA". The record is from RNAcentral. Lineage: Eukaryota; Viridiplantae; Streptophyta; Magnoliopsida; Poales; Poaceae.
GGCAUCGUCUUCCUGCCCCGAUCCCAGCCCACUAGCCGCUCCGAGCCAAUCGCCCCACCCCGCGCCUCCUCGCUGCUGUGCCGCCGGCGAUGUGCGGCGCUCCCGGCCACGCGCCACUAGCCUCCUCCCGGCCACGCGCCCCGGCUACUCCUCCCUACUCCACUCCCCGUGAGUCGCGCCGCCCCCAACCACGUUGGGACUGGGACACGUCUCCUCCCAGCUCCGGCCCAUUGACCAGCGCAGCUCCUCCUCCAUGUGGCCUGCUGGUCGAGGGUCUGAUAAUGGACAUAACACAGCUACUGGAGAGGAGAUUAAAAUAUUGAAGAUAGCAACAGAGGGGGAAGCUGAGGCUGGUAGAUCCAUUGAGCAAGAGUGCCAGACCCAG